CACUCUAGUGGUACCAUUUUUAUUGGGCCUAAAGCGUUCGUAGCCGGUUUGAUAAGUCUCUGGUGAAAUCCUAUAGCUUAACUGUGGGACUUGCUGGAGAUACUAUUAGACUUGAGGUCGGGAGAGGCCCGCGGUACUCCCAGGGUAGGGGUGAAAUCCCGUAAUCCUGGGAGGACCACCUAUGGCGAAGGCGGCUCACUGGAACGAGUCCGACGGUGAGGGACGAAAGCCGGGGGCGCGAACCGGAUUAGAUACCCGGGUAGUCCCAGCUGUAAACGAUGCUCGCUAGGUGUCAGGUGCGGUGCGACCGCAUCUGGUGCCGCAGUGAAAACUUGAAGCGAGUCACCUGGGAAGUACGGUCGCAAGGCUGAAACUUAAAGGAAUUGGCGGGGGAGCACUACAACGGGUGGAGCCUGCGGUUCAAUUGGAUUCAACGCCGGAAAGCUUACCGGGUCAGACAGCAAUAUGAAGUCAAGCUAAAACUUUACCGAAUCCGCGUGAAAAGAAGUUCAUGGCCGUCCUCAUUCCUAUCCU
RNAcentral lists this ribosomal RNA (534 nucleotides) under uncultured bacterium. RNAcentral describes it as "bacterial SSU rRNA". It matches the Rfam family "Archaeal small subunit ribosomal RNA", at positions 481 to 1016 of the family's 1478-position model. The record is from RNAcentral.